Molecule: long non-coding RNA, 188 nt
Filed under: Apteryx owenii (little spotted kiwi)
Lineage: Eukaryota; Metazoa; Chordata; Aves; Apterygiformes; Apterygidae
Description: lncRNA (ENSAOWG00000000128.1)
Source: RNAcentral
AUAGGCCUGGCUUUUUAGCUUUUUGAAACUGUUAACAUAGAUUUAAGUGCAACAGAGGAGGCAUGAAGCCAUGAAUGUUUUACUGGAAUGCUCUGGAUCAUCUCUCAGCAGGAUAAAACAUAUGAUUUCCCAGGUCAAGAAUGUAGAUGAGUUAUAGGAAAUUGACUUUGUAAAGCAUUAAAGGUUAG